This 253-nucleotide ribosomal RNA is filed under the name uncultured bacterium. RNAcentral's name for it is "partial 16S ribosomal RNA". It matches the Rfam family "Bacterial small subunit ribosomal RNA", at positions 524 to 776 of the family's 1533-position model. The record is from RNAcentral.
UACGUAGGGAGCAAGCGUUGUCCGGAAUCAUUGGGCGUAAAGAGCGCGUAGGCGGCCGUGUAAGUCCGCUCUGAAAGUCAAAGGCUCAACCUUUGAAAGCGGGUGGAUACUGCACGGCUAGAGUCCGGAAGAGGCGAGUGGAAUUCCUGGUGUAGCGGUGGAAUGCGCAGAUAUCAGGAGGAACACCAACGGCGAAGGCAGCUCGCUGGGACGGUACUGACGCUGAGGCGCGACAGCGUGGGGAGCAAACAGG